GACGAACGCUGGCGGCGUGCCUAAUACAUGCAAGUCGAGCGGACGAUUCGAAAGCUUGCUUUUGAAUCGUUAGCGGCGGACGGGUGAGUAACACGUGGGCAACCUGCCCUGUAGACGGGGAUAACACCGAGAAAUCGGUGCUAAUACCGGAUAACACGAAAUGUCGCAUGACGUUUCGUUGAAAGGCGGCGCAAGCUGCCGCUACAGGAUGGGCCCGCGGCGCAUUAGCUAGUUGGUGAGGUAACGGCUCACCAAGGCGACGAUGCGUAGCCGACCUGAGAGGGUGAUUGGCCACACUGGGACUGAGACACGGCCCAGACUCCUACGGGAGGCAGCAGUAGGGAAUCUUCCGCAAUGGACGAAAGUCUGACGGAGCAACGCCGCGUGAGCGAAGAAGGCCUUCGGGUCGUAAAGCUCUGUUGUUAGGGAAGAACAAGUAACGUAGUAACUGACGUUACUAUGACGGUACCUAACGAGAAAGCCACGGCUAACUACGUG
RNAcentral lists this ribosomal RNA (498 nucleotides) under uncultured bacterium. RNAcentral describes it as "partial 16S ribosomal RNA". It matches the Rfam family "Bacterial small subunit ribosomal RNA", at positions 28 to 507 of the family's 1533-position model. The record is from RNAcentral.